RNAcentral lists this ribosomal RNA (347 nucleotides) under uncultured Prevotella sp. RNAcentral describes it as "bacterial SSU rRNA". It matches the Rfam family "Bacterial small subunit ribosomal RNA", at positions 173 to 525 of the family's 1533-position model. Lineage: Bacteria; Pseudomonadati; Bacteroidota; Bacteroidia; Bacteroidales; Prevotellaceae. The record is from RNAcentral.
UCAUUGAUGACAUCUGAUUUGAAUUAAAGAUUUAUCGGUAUAGGAUGGGGAUGCGUCUGAUUAGCUUGUUGGUGAGGUAACGGCUCACCAAGGCCACGAUCAGUAGGGGUUCUGAGAGGAAGGUCCCCCACAUUGGAACUGAGACACGGUCCAAACUCCUACGGGAGGCAGCAGUGAGGAAUAUUGGUCAAUGGACGAGAGUCUGAACCAGCCAAGUAGCGUGCAGGAUGACGGCCCUAUGGGUUGUAAACUGCUUUUGUUUGGGAAUAAUCGACAUUACGUGUAAUGUUUGCAUGUACCAUUCGAAUAAGGACCGGCUAAUUCCCGUGCCAGCAGCCGCGGUAAAU